This 465-nucleotide ribosomal RNA is filed under the name uncultured Streptococcus sp. RNAcentral describes it as "bacterial SSU rRNA". It matches the Rfam family "Bacterial small subunit ribosomal RNA", at positions 338 to 795 of the family's 1533-position model. Lineage: Bacteria; Bacillati; Bacillota; Bacilli; Lactobacillales; Streptococcaceae. The record is from RNAcentral.
CCUACGGGAGGCAGCAGUAGGGAAUCUUCGGCAAUGGGGGCAACCCUGACCGAGCAACGCCGCGUGAGUGAAGAAGGUUUUCGGAUCGUAAAGCUCUGUUGUAAGUCAAGAACGAGUGUGAGAGUGGAAAGUUCACACUGUGACGGUAGCUUACCAGAAAGGGACGGCUAACUACGUGCCAGCAGCCGCGGUAAUACGUAGGUCCCGAGCGUUGUCCGGAUUUAUUGGGCGUAAAGCGAGCGCAGGCGGUUUGAUAAGUCUGAAGUUAAAGGCUGUGGCUCAACCAUAGUUCGCUUUGGAAACUGUCAAACUUGAGUGCAGAAGGGGAGAGUGGAAUUCCAUGUGUAGCGGUGAAAUGCGUAGAUAUAUGGAGGAACACCGGUGGCGAAAGCGGCUCUCUGGCUUGUAACUGACGCUGAGGCUCGAAAGCGUGGGGAGCAAACAGGAUUAGAUACCCGGGUAGUC